AGUCGAACGAAGCUUGACGGAUGAUUUCUUCGGAAUGAAACCAGAUAUGACUUAGUGGCGGACGGGUGAGUAACACGUGAGCAACCUGCCUUUCAGAGGGGGAUAACGGCUGGAAACGGUCGCUAAUACCGCAUGAUGUGUUCGGAUGGCGUCAUUUGAACAUCAAAGAUUUAUCGCUGAAAGAUGGGCUCGCGUCUGAUUAGAUAGUUGGUGGGGUAACGGCCUACCAAGUCUACGAUCAGUAGCCGGACUGAGAGGCUGAACGGCCACAUUGGGACUGAGAUACGGCCCAGACUCCUACGGGAGGCAGCAGUGGGGAAUAUUGCACAAUGGGGGAAACCCUGAUGCAGCAACGCCGCGUGAAGGAUGACGGUUUUCGGAUUGUAAACUUCUUUUCUUAGUGACGAAGACAGUGACGGUAGCUAAGGAAUAGGCAUCGGCUAACUACGUGCCAGCAGCCGCGGUAAUACGUAGGAUGCAAGCGUUAUCCGGAUUUACUGGGUGUAAAGGGAGCGCAGGCGGGACUGCAAGUUGGAUGUGAAAUACCGUGGCUUAACCACGGAACUGCAUCCAAAACUGUAGUUCUUGAGUGAAGUAGAGGCAAGCGGAAUUCCGAGUGUAGCGGUGAAAUGCGUAGAUAUUCGGAGGAACACCAGUGGCGAAGGCGGCUUGCUGGGCUUUAACUGACGCUGAGGCUCGAAAGUGUGGGGAGCAAACAGGAUUAGAUACCCUGGUAGUCCACACUGUAAACGAUGAUAGCUAGGUGUGGGGG
Molecule: ribosomal RNA, 772 nt
Filed under: uncultured bacterium
Lineage: Bacteria
Description: bacterial SSU rRNA
Rfam family: Bacterial small subunit ribosomal RNA
Source: RNAcentral